CUUUUUUAAAAAUUUCAAAGUGGUUACUUGCUUUAGUAAGAAAUCCAUUUCUACAUUUCAGUUUCUUGGGUAUAGCAAAAGUGUAGUGCUUGAAUUAAAUAAUGAAGUUGUCAGAUAGAGAAGCUGGGAGGACAUUGCCAUUUCUAGAAGUAUUUUAAGGCUAUAGAUGGAGAGAAUUCUCCAAGUAUACAAUACUUGCAAUUCUUAGAUAGUGUCAAAAAAAAUUUUUUUUUAAUUAAUGUAUUGCUGGGCUUGUAAAAAGGUGUGAAGUAAAUUUACCAGGCAAAAACAAAAUAGUGUGGAUCUGAAAACUUAAGCAAGCUCUAGAAUUGUUUCCCUGGGGGUAUUUGCUUACCUUCUACCUUAAAGCCUGGCUUUGAAUUAGACCCAUGGGAUAGGGGGCCCUGAAGGUAGUGGGAAAGGGCAGAAGAGAAAACUAGAAGCUAAGUACUAUGUGUAGCACAGAAAACAACAUCUCAGAAUGGGACAGUGGGGUUGCUUACUCUUCUCAUUUGUUAACUCUGAAUAUAGUAGAGAAAAAAAGAAACUCUUCCAAUGAAUUCUUAACCACAAGCCUUAAUACAUGUUUGGGGCCAGAAUUCAUAUAACCUUUAUGGCCUAAAUAUCAUAAAUUGUAAUUUUAGUUUAGAGUGGUCACAGUUAGUAAUAUCUCCAGGCAUUGGCAGAAGCAAAUGCAAAUUCUCUUAAGGAAAAUAACUUCAGUUCUCAAAACUAUCCAAACAUAAAGGCCUAAGAAAUUCAUGAAUUUUUAACCAAAAGUAACAAAACAUAGGAGGAAAUGAAUCUCCAAAUAUAAAAGCUAACAAAAAUAUCAGACUACACAAUCAAACCUACAAAGCUUAUAAAUAGACAGCAUAAACUAGGAAUCUUUAGUGUAAGGAAAUAAAAUAAGGCUGUAAGAGUAACAAAGGACCCCCACCAAUGUGGUUCACUGGUUGCGUAUCAACCUGUGAAUCAGGAGGUCAUGGUUCAAUUCCUGGUCAGGGCACAUGCCUGGGUUGUGAGCUCGAUACCCAGUGUGUGUAUGUGUGUGUGUGGGGGGGCGGGGGUGCAGUGAUGAUUCUCACCAUUGAUGUUUCUCUCUCUCCUCCUCCUCCCUUCCUCACUCUAAAAUCAAUAAAAAUGUGUAUUUUUUUUAAAAAAAGUAACAAAGGAAUAAGUAACAAAAAGAUUAGAAAUUUGAAAAAGAAUCAAAUAGAACUUAAAAAACAUUAAUUGAAGAGAGAAACUUUAUGGAUGGGUAAAACAACAAAGCAGACACAUUUAAGAAGAGAAUUUAUAAACUAAAGUACUUGAAAUUUUUUCUUAAAUGAAGAAAAAAAUCAAGAUUGAGAAAUGAUUGGUAAAGGAUGAUAAUCCAUUUUUUAAUGUAAUAUGAGAGAUAAUAUAGAUUUAAGGAAGAGGCAAUAUUUGAAGAAGGAAUAAGAAUUUUCCAGAAAUGUUGAAAUUUUGAAUUCUCAAACUCAAACAGUAUAAAUAAAAGAAAUACAUAGACACAAACUAGUGAAUUAAAGAAUAUCAAACACAGUAGUAAUAUGUUCUCAGAAUGAUGAGACAAAGAAAAAAGAGUAAAGUUUCUCACUAAAGAAACUUUGAAAGUAUAUAAUGUAGGAAGAAGGAAUAUGGUCCCAGUAGGAAAGUCUAAGAUGUAAGAAGAAAUGGUGAGCAAAGAAAUGAUAAAUGUGAGGAAAUUAUAUAGAAACCAUCAAAUAACACUAAUAUCUAAUUUGUAAAGUUUAAAUAAAAAAGAUAAAACUAACUGUUGCCCAUUCUGGACAACUAGAAGGAGUGAUCAGAGUUAAAAUAUUCUAUGGAUUUGUGGUGUUGGGAAGUUAAGAUAAUUGAUUAUCUUCAGAAUUUAUUAAGUUAAAUAUGCAUCUUAAAAUUUCUAGGGUAAACCACUAAAACAGUUGAAAUUUAUAAAUCCUCCAAACAAGAAAGGUAAAGAAGUAGAAAGAGAGAGGGGAGAAAAAACAAAACAAAACACUACUCAAACAACCCAGAAGUCUUGAGAAUAGAGAAGAAAAGAAUCAGGAAUAUAGAAAAUAAGAUUAUUAAAAAACAUAAGAUGGUAUAAAAAAUCAUGCAGCCCUAGCUGGUUUGGUUCAGUGGAUAGAGCAUUGGCCUGUGGACUAAAGGGUCCCAGGUUGCUUUGCAGGUUCGAUCCCCAGUAGGGGGCGUGCAGGAGGCAGCUGAUCAAUGAUUCUCUCUCAUCAUUGCUGUUUCUAUCCCUCCCUCUCCCUUCCUCUCUGAAAUCAAUAAAAAUAUAUUUUAAAAACUAUAUACAGUUUUUAAAAUCAUGCAAAUAUAGUUAUUGUAAUAUAAAUUGUCUAAAUUCUUGUUAAAUGAGGAAGUCUGUUAGUGUAGGUAAAUAGAAACAGUUCAAUGCUAUUUUAUUCAUAAUAAGCAUAUUUAGAAUUGAAAGUAAGAGGAUAAAAAAUACAUACCAGGCAAAAGAAAGUAGGCAUAGUUGAAUUAAUACCAGGCAAAAUAGACAUUAAAGUAAAAAAUACUUUUGGAGAUAAAGUUGGUUAUUUACUAUUGAUGAAAGGUUCAGUUCUCAACUUGAAUUCACAUAAUCUAGCUCCAGAACACAUAAGCAAAAUCAGCAGAACUAAUCCUUGCACGAGGAUAUUUUUUCCAUUAAUUUUUAGGGGGUGGUGGGAGGACAGAAACAUCGAUGUGAGAGAGACACUUCCCAACCCUGGGUGGGGGAUCAAACUGGCAACCCAGGUAUAUGCCCUUGACUAGGAAUCAAACCCAUUACCCUUUGGUGCUUGGGCUGAUGCUGUAACCACUGAGCCAAGCCUGCCAUGGCUAAAUCAACAGAACUCAAUGAGAAAUGAACAGAUUGCAUAAUCACAGUGGGAGGGCUAUUAAUAGAUCAGUGAGAUAAAAAAUAGUAAGAAUAUAGGCAUACCUCAGAGAUGCUGUAAGUUCAAUUCCAAACCAUCACAAUAAAGCGAGUAUCACACUAAUUUUUUUGUCUCCCAAUGCAUAUAUAAAAGUUAUGUUUAUACUAUACUGUAGUGUAAGUGUGCAAUAGCAUUAUGUCUAAAAAAAAAAAUAACCAACAAACAAAAAAAACCCAGUGUAUAUACCUUAGUCAAAAAAUACUUUAUUGCUAACCAUCAUAGGAGCGUUAAGCAAAUCAUGGUAUUUUUGGCAUAGACUUGUUCAACACAGGGUUGCCACAAAACUUCAGUUUGUUAAAAAAAAAAAAAAGUAAAA
Molecule: long non-coding RNA, 3252 nt
Organism: Myotis daubentonii (Daubenton's bat)
Lineage: Eukaryota; Metazoa; Chordata; Mammalia; Chiroptera; Vespertilionidae
Exons: 2
Source: RefSeq, a predicted model, not a curated record